RNAcentral lists this ribosomal RNA (429 nucleotides) under Gemmatimonadota bacterium. RNAcentral describes it as "Gemmatimonadetes bacterium partial 16S ribosomal RNA". It matches the Rfam family "Bacterial small subunit ribosomal RNA", at positions 355 to 776 of the family's 1533-position model. The record is from RNAcentral. Lineage: Bacteria; Pseudomonadati; Gemmatimonadota.
UAGGGAAUCUUCGGCAAUGGACGAAAGUCUGACCGAGCAACGCCGCGUGAGUGAAGAAGGUUUUCGGAUCGUAAAACUCUGUUGUUAGAGAAGAACAAGGACGUUAGUAACUGAACGUCCCCUGACGGUAUCUAACCAGAAAGCCACGGCUAACUACGUGCCAGCAGCCGCGGUAAUACGUAGGUGGCAAGCGUUGUCCGGAUUUAUUGGGCGUAAAGCGAGCGCAGGCGGUUUCUUAAGUCUGAUGUGAAAGCCCCCGGCUCAACCGGGGAGGGUCAUUGGAAACUGGGAGACUUGAGUGCAGAAGAGGAGAGUGGAAUUCCAUGUGUAGCGGGGAAAUGCGUAGAUAUAUGGAGGAACACCAGUGGCGAAGGCGGCUCUAUGGUCUGUAACUGACGCUGAGGCUCGAAAGCGUGGGGAGCAAACAGG